Molecule: ribosomal RNA, 1106 nt
Filed under: Mycobacterium tuberculosis UT0119
Lineage: Bacteria; Bacillati; Actinomycetota; Actinomycetes; Mycobacteriales; Mycobacteriaceae
Description: bacterial LSU rRNA
Rfam family: Bacterial large subunit ribosomal RNA
Source: RNAcentral
GCGAAGUCGCAAGACGAUGUAUACGGACUGACGCCUGCCCGGUGCUGGAAGGUUAAGAGGACCCGUUAACCCGCAAGGGUGAAGCGGAGAAUUUAAGCCCCAGUAAACGGCGGUGGUAACUAUAACCAUCCUAAGGUAGCGAAAUUCCUUGUCGGGUAAGUUCCGACCUGCACGAAUGGCGUAACGACUUCUCAACUGUCUCAACCAUAGACUCGGCGAAAUUGCACUACGAGUAAAGAUGCUCGUUACGCGCGGCAGGACGAAAAGACCCCGGGACCUUCACUACAACUUGGUAUUGAUGUUCGGUACGGUUUGUGUAGGAUAGGUGGGAGACUGUGAAACCUCGACGCCAGUUGGGGCGGAGUCGUUGUUGAAAUACCACUCUGAUCGUAUUGGGCAUCUAACCUCGAACCCUGAAUCGGGUUUAGGGACAGUGCCUGGCGGGUAGUUUAACUGGGGCGGUUGCCUCCUAAAAUGUAACGGAGGCGCCCAAAGGUUCCCUCAACCUGGACGGCAAUCAGGUGGCGAGUGUAAAUGCACAAGGGAGCUUGACUGCGAGACUUACAAGUCAAGCAGGGACGAAAGUCGGGAUUAGUGAUCCGGCACCCCCGAGUGGAAGGGGUGUCGCUCAACGGAUAAAAGGUACCCCGGGGAUAACAGGCUGAUCUUCCCCAAGAGUCCAUAUCGACGGGAUGGUUUGGCACCUCGAUGUCGGCUCGUCGCAUCCUGGGGCUGGAGCAGGUCCCAAGGGUUGGGCUGUUCGCCCAUUAAAGCGGCACGCGAGCUGGGUUUAGAACGUCGUGAGACAGUUCGGUCUCUAUCCGCCGCGCGCGUCAGAAACUUGAGGAAACCUGUCCCUAGUACGAGAGGACCGGGACGGACGAACCUCUGGUGCACCAGUUGUCCCGCCAGGGGCACCGCUGGAUAGCCACGUUCGGUCAGGAUAACCGCUGAAAGCAUCUAAGCGGGAAACCUUCUCCAAGAUCAGGUUUCUCACCCACUUGGUGGGAUAAGGCCCCCCGCAGAACACGGGUUCAAUAGGUCAGACCUGGAAGCUCAGUAAUGGGUGUAGGGAACUGGUGCUAACCGGCCGAAAACUUACAACA